AGUGAACGCUGGCGGUAGGCCCAACACAUGCAAGUCGAACGGCAGCACAGUAAGAGCUUGCUCUUACGGGUGGCGAGUGGCGGACGGGUGAGGAAUACAUCGGAAUCUACUUUUUCGUGGGGGAUAACGUAGGGAAACUUACGCUAAUACCGCAUACGACCUACGGGUGAAAGCAGGGGAUCUUCGGACCUUGCGCGAUUGAAUGAGCCGAUGUCGGAUUAGCUAGUUGGCGGGGUAAAGGCCCACCAAGGCGGCGAUCCGUAGCUGGUCUGAGAGGAUGAUCAGCCACACUGGAACUGAGACACGGUCCAGACUCCUACGGGAGGCAGCAGUGGGGAAUAUUGGACAAUGGGCGCAAGCCUGAUCCAGCCAUACCGCGUGGGUGAAGAAGGCCUUCGGGUUGUAAAGCCCUUUUGUUGGGAAAGAAAAGCAGCAGGUUAAUACCCCGCUGUUCUGACGGUACCCAAAGAAUAAGCACCGGCUAACUUCGUG
This 492-nucleotide ribosomal RNA is filed under the name uncultured bacterium. RNAcentral describes it as "partial 16S ribosomal RNA". It matches the Rfam family "Bacterial small subunit ribosomal RNA", at positions 29 to 507 of the family's 1533-position model. The record is from RNAcentral.